UCCAGACUCCUACGGGAGGCAGCAGUGAGGAAUAUUGGUCAAUGGCCGCAGGGCUGAACCAGCCAAGUCGCGUGAGGGAUGACGGUCCUAUGGAUUGUAAACCUCUUUUGUCAGGGAGCAAAGGGCGCCACGUGUGGCGUUUUGCGAGUACCUGAAGAAAAAGCAUCGGCUAACUCCGUGCCAGCAGCCGCGGUAAUACGGAGGAUGCGAGCGUUAUCCGGAUUUAUUGGGUUUAAAGGGUGCGCAGGCGGAAUGUCAAGUCAGCGGUAAAAUUUCGGGGCUCAACCCCGUCGUGCCGUUGAAACUGGUUUUCUUGAGUGAGCGAGAAGUAUGCGGAAUGCGUGGUGUAGCGGUGAAAUGCAUAGAUAUCACGCAGAACUCCGAUUGCGAAGGCAGCAUACCGGCGCUCAACUGACGCUCAUGCACGAAAGUGUGAGUAUCGAACAGGAUUAGAUACCCCCGUAUC
This 466-nucleotide ribosomal RNA is filed under the name uncultured bacterium. RNAcentral describes it as "bacterial SSU rRNA". It matches the Rfam family "Bacterial small subunit ribosomal RNA", at positions 330 to 796 of the family's 1533-position model. The record is from RNAcentral.